RNAcentral lists this ribosomal RNA (442 nucleotides) under uncultured Clostridium sp. RNAcentral's name for it is "bacterial SSU rRNA". It matches the Rfam family "Bacterial small subunit ribosomal RNA", at positions 338 to 797 of the family's 1533-position model. The record is from RNAcentral. Lineage: Bacteria; Bacillati; Bacillota; Clostridia; Eubacteriales; Clostridiaceae.
CCUACGGGGGGCUGCAGUGGGGAAUAUUGCGCAAUGGGGGAAACCCUGACGCAGCAACGCCGCGUGAAUGAUGAAGGCCUUCGGGUUGUAAAGUUCUGUCUUCUGGGACGAUAAUGACGGUACCAGAGGAGGAAGCCACGGCUAACUACGUGCCAGCAGCCGCGGUAAUACGUAGGUGGCAAGCGUUGUCCGGAUUUACUGGGCGUAAAGGAUGCGUAGGCGGACAUUUAAGUCAGAUGUGAAAUACCCGGGCUUAACUUGGGUGCUGCAUUUGAAACUGGGUGUCUAGAGUGCAGGAGAGGUAAGUGGAAUUCCUAGUGUAGCGGUGAAAUGCGUAGAGAUUAGGAAGAACACCAGUGGCGAAGGCGACUUACUGGACUGUAACUGACGCUGAGGCAUGAAAGCGUGGGGAGCAAACAGGAUUAGAUACCCGAGUAGUCAG